This is a long non-coding RNA of Brassica rapa (field mustard), 8761 nucleotides long. RefSeq lists it as uncharacterized. The record is from RefSeq and is a predicted model, not a curated record. Lineage: Eukaryota; Viridiplantae; Streptophyta; Magnoliopsida; Brassicales; Brassicaceae.
GUGUAUUGUAAUAUGAUAACAGGAGCCCAUGAUUUGUAAUAUUAACAGUAAUUAAUUGUUUAUUUCAUAGUCUGUGGCUGCCAUAUAUAGUAAUUAUGUUUGAAUGCCCAUAAUCAAGAUAAUAUUGUUUGGAGCAGGCUUGAUUAGCUAGCCACAAUUUAACAUGAGGAACCCACUCUCUCUCUCUCUCUCUCUCUCGCUCAUACGUGAAUUUAUGAUAGUGCGGAUACACUGCUGCUUAUAAGAGUCACGUGAAGCCAUUUUGGUCCCACAUCCCUUUUGAAAAGUACUACUCAUCCAUCAUCAAUCGACUACAACUCUACAACCUAUCACUCCUAUAAAUUUUCUGAACGUUGGGGACUGUUCCAAACCUUCUUUGUAAUAUCCGAUAUUGGGACCAUGCAUGUAUAAAUUAGGGAAUGUAUGAACUGUAGCUAUUUUGUUGUAGAAUUUAAACUAUAGUGUUUUUUUUUUGCGGUAGAUCAUUUUGCUGUAAAUUUGAAAAGGACUUUUUUGCUGAGAAUAUAAAACUCUCUACAUCCACAUUUUAUAUUUAGUGAUAUUUCUUGCUGUAGAUUUUUUAGAGAUUAUAAGAGCAUUAGCAAUGGGAAGCUCUUUCCUAAAACUCUCAAAGAAAAUACUAAGAGAAAAAAAUAAAGUAAAGAGGAAAUAAAAAGUUUAGAACAUGCUCUCAUUUAAGAACAUGUUUUCAUGUUUUAAGAAUACGUCUCUCCUCAUUAUUUCAUUUUGAUUAGUUCAUAAAAACAAAAAUAAAUAAAAUAGUUAUUAUACAUAUAUAAUAAUAUUUUUGAGAGUUUUGGAUAAAAACUACCAGUGCUGAUGCUCUAAGUAUGAUUCUAAACUAAAUUUUAGUUGUCCAAAGCAUCUAUAUGUACAGCUAAUCAACUUCUUAGUCUCUUUGAUUCCUGAUUCGGUUCAUAGUUAAUUGUAAUUUUAGAUAAAACUUAUUUUUGGAUAACCAUAAGCUUUACGAAACAACCAAAUGAUGUUUAAACGGCAUUCGGAACAAAUACUGUUAGAUUGAAUGGUAUAUGUUUCAGUUAUAUCACCUAUCGUUUCAGGACCGGAAGAUGUGAAUAUCUGUUUUACUAUGUUAUAUAUACAUAAGCGGGGCUUACCCAAAUCAAUUUUCAUUAUACAUGUUUAAAUGUAGUAAUUAUAAAACUUUCAAAACUGUAUAAAUUAUUUAAUAAUAAAUAAUUAAAUAACCAAAAGUUAUUAUAUUGCUAGCUAACUGAUAUUAAAAACCAUACAUUGUACAUCUAAUUAGUCUAAACGUUCAUCAAAUUCAGAAAAAAAUAAUGUUCCAAACAAACAACAUGAAUUACUGAUUUUCCUUUUAAAAGUUGGAUAUCUGCUCUGCAGUUUACCCAUAGCUCUACAUCUUGUGAAGGUGCCGCAAACUCUUUUUUUUUUUUUGCUUAAAAUUUGAUGAGCUGCCGCAAACUUUGAAAGGAUAUUUGUUUUGGAAUCUUUCAUGGUGGCUUAAUGGGACCCAAGCUUAUUCUCACCUUCUGUCUAUGCUGUACGAAAUUAUUUGUCUUUAUAAAGACUAGAGUCUUUGUCCGCGCUACGCGCGGAAAAGUGUGUUGAUAGUUAAUUUUCUGAUUAUAAGUUUCAUUUUUUUUGUUUUGAAUGGAAGCAUUGUAUUUUCCAAAAUGAUGGAAAAAUUGGUGAAUAUCAAAUUUAUGCAAUUGUUUAAAAACAAAAAGAGUAGCUUAAUGGGAACAUUGUAUUUUCCAAAAUGAUGAAAAAAUGGUGAAUAUCAAGUUUAUGCAAUUGUUUAAAAACAAAAAAGAGUAGUUUAACUAAUCAUAAGUAAUAUAAAAAGGAGAUCAAGUCUUUUGAAGAACGUAAGGUUUGAUGUGGACCAUAAAAAGAAAUAGCCUAAAAUUGGUAAAAAUUAAAUUAGUUAACUUAAAUUAUAUUAUAUACCAAACCAUAGUUAUUUAUAUAAAAAAGAUACAUACUUGUAUAACUGGGUAGAGACUCUGUGUAAGUCCUUAUUUGAUUGUACCAUCGUUUGGUGGAUAUGUUGGGCAUUGUAAAUCUGUGAAUAGAAUAAUUUAUCAGAAAAGCUUUAAAAAAUUGUGGAAGUGAAAAGUUCUAAUUUUAAUUAAAAAUACCUUUAUUAUGUUUAGGUCUGCUGCAAGCCGGUCAUGGGCACAAGCAGUAGAAGCUGUGGCUUCCGACUGUCGAUUAAUAUGUAAUUUGUUUGAGAUUAUUUUUAUAUUUUUUUAAUAAAUAAUUUUCAUCAUUUUUGUUUUAUUUCAAGGUUUAAAGAUAUACAAUGGAUUUAUAUUUUUUACAUUUGUUACUUUUUGUUUUUAUUAUUAUGUGUAUUCUUUUGUUUGAGAUUAUUUUUAUAAAUUUUUAUUAAAUGAUUUUCAUCUUUUUCUAGGUUUAGAGAGUUAUACAAUAGCUAUACAAUUCUCAAAACAGAAAAUGAGUAGCAUUACUAACAUUCCAAAUGCAAAAUUACUCUGACGUGAUUUUUUCAUCCAAGUCUUUAAUUUUCAUUGACUGCAUAUUAUAUUAUUUUCUAUUUUUUGGUAAUUCUUAUUUAAAAUUUUGAGUAAUAUUGAUGGAUUUAUUAAAGUAAAAUCUUAUUAUUGGUGUUUAGGCUAUAACUAAUUUUCUACAUUGUUUUUAAUUAGUUAUUGAACUAUAUUAGAUAUGGUUAAGUAAUGUUUUUUCCUAGUCAUUAUUAUUUUAGGACUAAUAUUUGUUACCAACAUAAUUUUCUUUCCACUUUUUAAUGGCAAAUAAUUUUAUGAAAGUAUUUGUUUCUCAUCAUAUAUAGUCUGCCGCACAAAUAUGGACCUACAAUAAAAUAUAUUUAUUAAAUUUCAUUUUCGAAUGCAUAUUUUUCUAUUGUAUAUUUAAAUACAGUAGAAAAUCUAUAAAUUAAUAAUCAAUAAAUUAAUAAACACUAUAAUAUUUUUUGUUUUCAAAUUGAAUCGAUUUAAAAUACGACAUAAACUGAUAAAAUAAUAAAUAAUAAAAGUUUUGAAUUUUUUUUGUAAAUAUAUAGUUCAUUAAAAUCAUAAAUUAAUUAUUUAUAUACAUAAUAUUUAUAUAAGUAUAAUAAAACAUUAUAUUAUAUGUUUUAUAUUCACAAUGUAAUUCAUCUUUACUUUUCUUAACACUUCAAUAUAUUUUGAUAAUAUUUAAUAAAAUUUAAUGUAAACUACAUUUAAAUUCUAUAAAGGAGAAAUUUUACUUAUACCACUUUUAAAACAUAUUUUAUAUACAUCAAAGAAAUUUAAUUAAUGCAUAUAUGGUAAAAUCAAUAUUUUUUAAUUUAUACAAAACACAUCUUGUAAAACAAAAAAUCUAAAAUGAAAUUUAUACAAAAUUAGUAACUCUAUAAAAUAAUAAAAUACCAUAAUCUCAACAUCCUUAAUUUGUAGAAUUUUUACUGUAUAAGCUUAUCUCUAUCUUCAAUUAUACCUUUCUAUUUUCGAGGUUUAUUCCUUACAUGAUGUGUGUUUUACCUUUUAUAUGUUUUCAAUCGUUUUUUAUAUGGUUAAUAAUACUCAACUUUUUGUUAUUGUUGUAUUUUUUUCUAUUUAUGUGUUUUCUUUUCUCUGGUCUUUACUUAUGUUUUGUUAGAUACAUGUUUAGCUUAUGUUGUGUCAGUUUAUCCUUUUAGUUUUGUAACUUCGUAGUUUCUUGUUGUGAUAUAAUUUUGAUAUGUCUUUUUCUUUUAAAAAGUUUAUCUCUUCCUAAUGCAGUACGUUUCACAUCUUCUUUAAAGUUCAAGUAAUAGAAAAAAUAAUAAUAAAAAAAAUAUCAGUGUGACUGAGUUGGAUCUUGCAAGAAACAAUUAUAAAAGAAAAAUACAUGAAUAUCAGUGAACAUUCCAAUUAAAGCUGAGCCAGUGAAAUUUUUAAAUUGCAACAACCUAUAGUCACAGUUAAAAAUAAAUCAUACAAAAAGAACUCAUUCAUAUGAACAAUUCUUUCACCAACAACAAAGAUUGACAUCAAACCCACUGAUAAAGAAACAAAAGGUAAGAUAAGGAGGACAAACUUUUCAUUAAUCAAGAGCAUGACCACCGUCUGCGUCUGCGGAGAACAACCGGACAUCAAAUCUGUCAGUAGGAGAGGAGAUGAGAGGUCAAUAUUGUUGCAGGUUAAUUGAAUGGAAGAGAUUUGAUCACAUCAUCCUCAUUAUUUAUAGUGUAGAUAUCUCUGAAGUUUUUUUUAGGUAGAAAAAGAGGAAAUUAAAUGUAACGUAAAGGAAGGAGUUGGUAUAGAAAUUAAUGGAAAAGCUUAAUUACAAUCGUUUCAUGUUCGGACUUUCGUGUUGCGGCCAGUCCUUAUGUUCUUGGUCUUUAACAAACGGUGGAACUCAGGGUUUAGGCCCAUUUUUUACUCUAUGAUUUAAAAAAUAAACAACAAAAGCCCAAAACAUAUUAAUUCGUAAUGACAUGGACCAAACCUGCAAUCUGAUUGGCUGGAAUUUCCCAUCCUACGUGGACAGGCUAAAAACACUUAGUAUUCAGCUUUUAGUAAAUUUAUACAAAAUUAGUAACUCUAUAAAAUAAUAAAAUACCAUAAUCUCAACAUCCUUAAUUUGUAGAAUUUUUACUGUAUAAGCUUAUCUCUAUCUUCAAUUAUACCUUUCUAUUUUCGAGGUUUAUUCCUUACAUGAUGUGUGUUUUACCUUUUAUAUGUUUUCAAUCGUUUUUUAUAUGGUUAAUAAUACUCAACUUUUUGUUAUUGUUGUAUUUUUUUCUAUUUAUGUGUUUUCUUUUCUCUGGUCUUUACUUAUGUUUUGUUAGAUACAUGUUUAGCUUAUGUUGUGUCAGUUUAUCCUUUUAGUUUUGUAACUUCGUAGUUUCUUGUUGUGAUAUAAUUUUGAUAUGUCUUUUUCUUUUAAAAAGUUUAUCUCUUCCUAAUGCAGUACGUUUCACAUCUUCUUUAAAGUUCAAGUAAUAGAAAAAAUAAUAAUAAAAAAAUAUCAGUGUGACUGAGUUGGAUCUUGCAAGAAACAAUUAUAAAAGAAAAAUACAUGAAUAUCAGUGAACAUUCCAAUUAAAGCUGAGCCAGUGAAAUUUUUAAAUUGCAACAACCUAUAGUCACAGUUAAAAAUAAAUCAUACAAAAAGAACUCAUUCAUAUGAACAAUUCUUUCACCAACAACAAAGAUUGACAUCAAACCCACUGAUAAAGAAACAAAAGGUAAGAUAAGGAGGACAAACUUUUCAUUAAUCAAGAGCAUGACCACCGUCUGCGUCUGCGGAGAACAACCGGACAUCAAAUCUGUCAGUAGGAGAGGAGAUGAGAGGUCAAUAUUGUUGCAGGUUAAUUGAAUGGAAGAGAUUUGAUCACAUCCUCCUCAUUAUUUAUAGUGUAGAUAUCUCUGAAGUUUUUUUUAGGUAGAAAAAGAGGAAAUUAAAUGUAACGUAAAGGAAGGAGUUGGUAUAGAAAUUAAUGGAAAAGCUUAAUUACAAUCGUUUCAUGUUCGGACUUUCGUGUUGCGGCCAGUCCUUAUGUUCUUGGUCUUUAACAAACGGUGGAACUCAGGGUUUAGGCCCAUUUUUUACUCUAUGAUUUAAAAAAUAAACAACAAAAGCCCAAAACAUAUUAAUUCGUAAUGACAUGGACCAAACCUGCAAUCUGAUUGGCUGGAAUUUCCCAUCCUACGUGGACAGGCUAAAAACACUUAGUAUUCAGCUUUUAGUAUAGGAUAGAUAAUAUCAUAAAUCUAAUAAUUCAAUUUCUUGACUGUUUGUUUACUUUGCCAUAUAAAAAAAAGGCUAAAGAGGAUAUAUAUACUUUGUAGUUCACAAAUGCUCAUCAUGAGGAAAUUAUUGUUUAAAUAAUAUUUUUAUUAAAAAUGAAAAUGAAAGGAGGCCCAUCUUCUUCAUCUUUUCACUGUUUAUAGUAAGCCCAAUGUCUAACAAAAACAAACUAAACGACUUUCCCACGUAACGACACAAGAGAGAAACGGAAAACAGCCAAAAGGCCAAACUUUUCCCCCGGCAAGAGAAACCAACCAAUUACUCAGUAUAGCUUUUGUUUCUGUUUUCCUUUUCUUCUGAAAAGAAAUUAAUUAAGAAUUCGGUUCUCGGCACUUUUGUUUCCUUCAUCUGUACUUCACCGCAGCUAUAUAUUUGAUAAAGUCAUAACUUUUCAGAAACUUUGAACUCUCUGAAAACGCAGCCAGUGAUCGUGGUUACAGAUGCAAGAAACAGAGGCGAGUGUCAAAGAUAUACUCAUAUACACAUCUCUGAUUGUGCUGAAAACUCGAUGCACUUUGAUUAUUUUGACGAAUAACACAACUCAAACAAUAAACAAUAGUCGAUGCACUUGCUGGCGGAGCCAGACAAAUGGUUCACUAGGACAAUAUAAAAUUUGAACUUAAAAUCAUAAGAGACAAUAUAAGGGAUUUUAACACUUUAAAUCAUAAAAGUUUCGAAAAAUCAAUGAAAAUAAAUUUGAUUUCAAUAAUUCAUAUGGGGCAGCUGCCCUCUUCCCCCUAUACCUCCGCCACUGUCCUUGUUCAAUAACCCGCAAAGCACAAAGAUAAAUAAUACACUUCUCAUGGGUAAUACCGAACAUCUUCCGGAUUUUCAAUAUUUGAUAUAAAGUAGGCCAAUAUACACGGAGAGAAUAGGGAUGGUCUUGUUGGAGCAAGAUUUAUCACAUAAAUAUUGUUGGGUAUGGACCUGACCCUCCCAAAAGGCCACAUGAUAGUUGCCAUGACCCAUAACCGUGUGGAAGAGACCCGGUUCGCUGGCUCGCGAGCGACCGAUUGGCUCGACUCAAAACUAUUUAUAGUCGAUCAAACGAGCGACUGAAAGCAGUCGACUCGACGACUUGAAGUAGCGGUCCGAUAACUCGGGCCAACCGACGAAAGGCCCAUCAAGUGAAGGCAAAUUAGGUUAUCGAUCGAUCGCCUAUAUAAGGAAAGCAAGAAGCAACAGGAAGGGGAUCCGCAAAUCACUACACGCUUACUUUCGGCUAGAAAUUGGGGUUUUACAUCUUUCUUUUGCCGACCUGUAACUCCCGGCGAACCAGCUUUCGCCGGCUUACUUUCCACCGUUUCUUUCCUCUUUUAUAACUCGACCGAAUAAUUCUCUGAUAUAAUAAACGCUUUUGUCUCGACCCACCGACGAGUUCUCGUCUCUUCUUUUUACUAGUUUAUCGACAGUUCUCGGUUCGGUUCAAACAAAUAUGGUCGCACAUGAGCAAUCAAAACAGGUUAAAAUAAUAAUGUUUGCAUAUUUUAGGCUUUUCUUGCUGAUGAAAUGUUAUAGUGUUUGUGGCUGAUUUGUUGCUCUUGGAAAGGGAAUGUAAAACUUCUCAAAAUCAUCAAGAUCAUAGAAGAUAGACACCAACUAUUACCCUGGGGUAGGUAUGGAUUUUCAGAUUUCAUUAGCAGCUUCAUGAACAAUGCUUGUGACCCUGAUUUUGGGUUUGGGCUAUAGAAUUUGCAUCGCCUCUUCUUGAUGCUCGAACAUUAGUCAGGUAACGAUAUGCCACUUGAUUCCUUCUAUUUUAUUUCAUUUUUUUCUUUUGGUUUAGACACAAUGGUGAUGGUACCAUAGAUAAGUUAUGUAUGUUCCAAGUGCUAGGACCUAACUACCUUGGAGAGCUACUUGAAGCAAUAGAUCCAAGGUGUAGCCAACUUUUUGAUUUGUUUCAAUGCUAAAACCUGUGAAAUGAUAUGUUUCUGAUAUGAGGUUUUAGCUUUGGAGUCUCAGCAUUGUUUGUGUUUGAUUUCACAAAACAGCAACUUACCAACAUUUCUUGGAGGAAAUUGCAUCUGUUCAGAUAGUGAAGGGUGGCUUUUCAGUGAUGGACCCUGGAAUGAUCCAAACAUUGAUGUUUAUGCCAGUACCAUUGAUUUUUCAUCAAGUAAACACAGUUCAUUUCCACUCAAAAGGGACUAAUUUAGAUACUGGAGACUUGCACAAUGGGAGAUGCUGGUUCUGAGGGACAUACUAUGGACAAAGUCUCGGAGAAUUGCUACUUACAAAAGUUGAAAUGUUGGAGGUGUCACUCCGUGAAACAACAAGGGUAAAUAGGAGAGACCUGUGAAAGUUAAUGCCUCACAUCUUUUGAGCUUCAUCUACAGUUUCACUUGUAUUAGUAUAUGCCUAAGGUUUAAUAGUCUCUCUUUCUUCAUUCAGACCUUGAAUGGACAUGCGGAGAUCAUUGAGACCUCUAAACCGAAUCAAACCGAUACAACCUAUAGCCAAAUGCUAAACGGUUUAGAGCGCAAGACAAUCCGUACUACGAUGAUAAAUGCAAAUCAUGUGUGGAGCCAAUCUGUCUCACAUGCAACUGCACGUGUGACCUCUGCAACCGCAACUUCAUCUCUCUCAUAUUGAUUUUUUUUUUAUGAAUCUAAGUCUACAGCUGGAUUUGAUCAUCUUCCCUAUGACAAAUGCUUCAUUGGAAGAAUAACAAUACUCAUGCAUCUUACUAUUUUUAUAUUCAUUUAGUGUAUAAAAGAAGAUUUUUAUAUAGUAAAGUUUCAAUCCUUGUUUAUGUUAUUCAUCCAUAAGUGACAAUAACAGAAGAGUAACCAUCAUCAUCAUCAGUUCAUCAUAUGAUCAUUACACAAGUUUAACAACAAGAAAGUGGAAAAACUUUAUAGAUAGGAGUGUGAGUUUACAUAAAGCUUCUGCAGUUGAAAAUUUACAGAUCUCUUGCUACACCUAAACACUUCCACACCACAAGACACAGCUCAAUUUUUCAACAUUCAUGGACAAAGAAACACAA